RNAcentral lists this ribosomal RNA (782 nucleotides) under uncultured bacterium. RNAcentral describes it as "bacterial SSU rRNA". It matches the Rfam family "Bacterial small subunit ribosomal RNA", at positions 551 to 1323 of the family's 1533-position model. The record is from RNAcentral.
UUACUGGGCGUAAAGGGCGUCUAGGUUGUCUGUCAAGUUGGCCGUGAAAGUCCUCGGCUAAACUGAGGAAAGUCGGUCGAAACUGUCAGGCUAGAGGAACGUAGAGGGAGGUGGAACUCUCGGAGUAGCGGUGGAAUGCGUAGAUACCGAGAGGUACCCCGAUGGUGAAGACAGCCUCCUGGGCGUUUCCUGACACUGAAGCGCUAAGGCCAGGGGAGCAAAGGGGAUUAGAUACCCCCGUAGUCCUGGCUUCAAACGAUGUGGGCUUGGUGUCGGCUCCCGAAGAGAGUCGUUGCCGGAGCUAACGCGUUAAGCCCACCGCCUGGGGAUUACGUCCGCAAGGAUGAAACUCAAGGGAAUUGACGGGGGCCCACACAACCGGUGGAGCACGUGGUUUAAUUCGAUGAUAAGCGAAGAACCUUACCAGGACUUGACAUGUCGGUAGUAGGACCCUGAAAGGGGAACGAUUCCAGACUUUGUCUGGAAAGCCGUCACAGGUAUUGCAUGGCUGUCGUCAGCCCGUGUCGUGGGACGUUGGGUUAAGUCCCGUAACGAGCGCAACCCCUGCUCUUAAUUGCCAGCGCUUAGGGCGGGUACUAUAAGAGGACUGCCGGAGAAUAUCCGGAGGAAGGAGGGGACGACGUCAAGUCAUUAUGAUCCUUAUGUUCUGGGCGACACACGUGCUACAAUGGGCACUACAGAGGGGAGCCAAUCCGCAAGGAUGAGCAAAUCUCAAAAAGGUGCCCCCAGUGCGAAUUGGGGUCUGCAACUCGACCCCAUGA